RNAcentral lists this ribosomal RNA (253 nucleotides) under uncultured bacterium. RNAcentral describes it as "partial 16S ribosomal RNA". It matches the Rfam family "Bacterial small subunit ribosomal RNA", at positions 524 to 776 of the family's 1533-position model. The record is from RNAcentral.
UACGUAGGGGGCAAGCGUUGUCCGGAAUCAUUGGGCGUAAAGAGCGCGUAGGCGGCCCUGUAAGUCCGCUGUGGAAGUCAAGGGCUCAACCCUUGGAUGCCGGUGGAUACUGCAGGGCUAGAGUCCGGAAGAGGCGAGUGGAAUUCCUGGUGUAGCGGUGAAAUGCGCAGAUAUCAGGAGGAACACCGAUGGCGAAGGCAGCUCGCUGGGACGGUACUGACGCUGAGGCGCGAAAGCGUGGGGAACAAACAGG